Molecule: ribosomal RNA, 497 nt
Filed under: uncultured bacterium
Lineage: Bacteria
Description: partial 16S ribosomal RNA
Rfam family: Bacterial small subunit ribosomal RNA
Source: RNAcentral
GAUGAACGCUGGCGGCGUGCCUAAUACAUGCAAGUCGAGCGAACGGACGAGAAGCUUGCUUCCCUGAUGUUAGCGGCGGACGGGUGAGUAACACGUGGAUAACCUACCUAUAAGACUGGGAUAACUUCGGGAAACCGGAGCUAAUACCGGAUGAUAUUUUGAACCGCAUGGUUCAAAAGUGAAAGACGGUCUUGCUGUCACUUAUAGAUGGAUCCGCGCUGCAUUAGCUAGUUGGUAAGGUAACGGCUUACCAAGGCAACGAUGCAUACCCGACCUGAGAGGGUGAUCCGCCACACUGGAACUGAGACACGGUCCAGACUCCGACGGGAGGCAGCAGUAGGGAAUCUUCCGCAAUGGGCGAAAGCCUGACGGAGCAACGCCGCGUGAGUGAUGAAGGUCUUCGGAUCGUAAAACUCUGUUAUUAGGGAAGAACAUAUGUGUAAGUAACUGUGCACAUCUUGACGGUACCUAAUCAGAAAGCCACGGCUAACUACGUG